GGGGUCACCCCGCAACAGUGGAUGGAAAAGUGCAAGGCACGUGGAUCCAGAUGAAGGAACUGACCAUCUCUGAGAUAUCUCCUCUGGCUGGAGAGGCAGUUCAACAGGAGGUUGAAGAGACAGAUUAAUUCUUCAGGUCCAAGAAUCAGAACUGCCUCCAUCAUAAUGGAGCUAGCUGAAACCUCCCUGAGCUUCUUGAGUACUCUUGGUUCAAUAGAAUUGGAAGAGGGUCUUUGCCACCAGUUUGGUGAUGACAGACAUCUGAGGGAAUGUGCAAUGUCGUAUCCAGGUGAUGCUUGCUUGGCUGACAUACAGGCUUCAACAAUCCUUGCACAGGAUGAAGGUGAACUCUGGCAGGAAACCAAGGGCCCUAGAAGUCUGAGACAAGUUCUUAUCGAUAUCUUGGGAUGAACUUGUAGGUGGGUGGACAGAACCAUGGCUUGGAAUCUUUCUUGAGGCAGACAGGCCAUUGCCAUUGUAGAGAUCAACACCACCCCUAUAAACAAUACGCUUUGAGCUGGAGUUCGUAUUGAU
Gopherus evgoodei (Goodes thornscrub tortoise) is the source of this 534-nucleotide long non-coding RNA. RefSeq lists it as uncharacterized. NCBI's taxonomy places the organism in Eukaryota, Metazoa, Chordata, Testudines, Testudinidae. The record is from RefSeq and is a predicted model, not a curated record. The transcript has 3 exons.